RNAcentral lists this ribosomal RNA (253 nucleotides) under uncultured bacterium. RNAcentral describes it as "partial 16S ribosomal RNA". It matches the Rfam family "Bacterial small subunit ribosomal RNA", at positions 524 to 776 of the family's 1533-position model. The record is from RNAcentral.
UACGUAGGUUGCAAGCGUUAUCCGGAGUUACUGGGCGUAAAGCGUCUGUAGCCGGACAAGUAAGUCCGUUUUCAAAUACUCUGACUCACUCAGAGAAAGGGAAUGGAUACUGCUUAUCUAGAGAAUUCUGGGGGUAAAUGGAAUUUCCGGUGGAGCGGUGAAAUGCGUUGAUAUCGGAAGGAACGCCAAAAGCGAAAGCAGUUUACUAUAGAAUUUCUGACGGUGAGAGACGAAAGCUUGGGGAGCAAAUGGG